GACGAACGCUGGCGGCGUGCUUAACACAUGCAAGUCGAACGGAAAGGCCCUGCUUUUGUGGGGUGCUCGAGUGGCGAACGGGUGAGUAACACGUGAGUAACCUGCCCUUGACUUUGGGAUAACUUCAGGAAACUGGGGCUAAUACCGGAUAGGAGCUCCUGCUGCAUGGUGGGGGUUGGAAAGUUUCGGCGGGUGGGGAUGGACUCGCGGCUUAUCAGCUUGUUGGUGGGGUAGUGGCUUACCAAGGCUUUGACGGGUAGCCGGCCUGAGAGGGUGACCGGCAACAUUGGGACUGGGAUACGGCCCAGACUCCUACGGGAGGCAGCAGUGGGGAAUAUUGCACAAUGGGCGGAAGCCUGAUGCAGCAACGCCGCGUGCGGGAUGACGGCCUUCGGGUUGUAACCCGCUUUCGCCUGUGACGAAGCGUGAGUGACGGUAAUGGGUAAAGAAGCACCGGCUAACUACGUG
RNAcentral lists this ribosomal RNA (468 nucleotides) under uncultured bacterium. Its description in RNAcentral is "partial 16S ribosomal RNA". It matches the Rfam family "Bacterial small subunit ribosomal RNA", at positions 28 to 507 of the family's 1533-position model. The record is from RNAcentral.